UACGUAGGGUGCAAGCGUUGUCCGGAAUUAUUGGGCGUAGAGAGCUCGUAGGCGGUCUGUUGCGUCGGCUGUGAAAACCCGGGGCUCAACUCCGGGCCUGCAGCCGAUACGGGCAGACUAGAGUUCGGCAGGGGAGACUGGAAUUCCUGGUGUAGCGGUGAAGUGCGCAGAUAUCAGGAGGAACACCGGUGGCGAAGGCGGGUCUCUGGGCCGAUACUGACGCUGAGGAGCGAAAGCGUGGGGAGCGAACAGG
This 253-nucleotide ribosomal RNA is filed under the name uncultured bacterium. RNAcentral describes it as "partial 16S ribosomal RNA". It matches the Rfam family "Bacterial small subunit ribosomal RNA", at positions 524 to 776 of the family's 1533-position model. The record is from RNAcentral.